Molecule: ribosomal RNA, 343 nt
Filed under: uncultured Bacillota bacterium
Lineage: Bacteria; Bacillati; Bacillota
Description: bacterial SSU rRNA
Rfam family: Bacterial small subunit ribosomal RNA
Source: RNAcentral
GAUGAACGCUGGCGGCGUGCUUAACACAUGCAAGUCGAACGAAGCACUUUGACGGAUCCCUUUCGGGGGUGAAGUUAAAAUGACUGAGUGGCGGACGGGUGAGUAACGCGUGGGUAACCUGCCUCAUACAGGGGGAUAACAGUUGGAAACGACUGCUAAUACCGCAUAAGCGCACAGCUUCGCAUGGAGUGGUGUGAAAAGAUUUAUCAGUAUGAGAUGGACCCGCGUCUGAUUAGCUAGUUGGUGAGGUAACGGCCCACCAAGGCGACGAUCAGUAGCCGGCUUGAGAGAGUGAACGGCCACAUUGGGACUGAGACACGGCCCAAACACCUACGGGAGGCAG